RNAcentral lists this ribosomal RNA (422 nucleotides) under uncultured bacterium. RNAcentral's name for it is "bacterial SSU rRNA". It matches the Rfam family "Bacterial small subunit ribosomal RNA", at positions 355 to 774 of the family's 1533-position model. The record is from RNAcentral.
UGAGGAAUAUUGGGCAAUGCCCGCAAGGGUGACCCAGCAACGCCGCGUGGAGGAUGAAUGUCGUAAGAUUGUAAACUCCUGUUAGAGGGGAAGAAUAGUACCGGUUGGACCGGUAUAUGACUGUACCCUCAGAGAAAGCCCCGGCUAACUACGUGCCAGCAGCCGCGGUAAUACGUAGGGGGCAAGCGUUGUCCGGAUUUACUGGGUGUAAAGGGCGCGCAGGCGGGAUAAAAAGUCAGUGGUGAAAUCCUACAGCUUAACUGUAGAACUGCCUUUGAUACUUUUAUUCUUGAGUUCGGGAGAGAGUGACGGAAUUCCUGGUGUAGUGGUGAAAUACGUAGAUAUCUGGAAGAACACCAGUUGCGAAGGCGGUCUCUUGGUCCGACACUGACGCUGAGGCGCGAAAGCGUGGGGAGCAAACA